AUUUGCUUAUUGCACCACAUGUGUUUUUUAUUGAACAAAUUUCUUUGGUGGCGGGAGCAAUCCUACCGCCAGAGGUUAUAACUAAACCAAACUUUUUAUUUACAGUCAAACUUGAUUUAUUAUUACAAUAGUCAAAACUUUCAACAACGGAUCUCUUGGUUCUCGCAUCGAUGAAGAACGCAGCGAAAUGCGAUACGUAAUAUGAAUUGCAGAUAUUCGUGAAUCAUCGAAUCUUUGAACGCACAUUGCGCCCUUUGGUAUUCCAAAGGGCAUGCCUGUUUGAGCGUCAUUUCUCCCUCAAACCCCCGGGUUUGGUGUUGAGCAAUACGCUAGGUUUGUUUGAAAGAAUUUACGUGGAAACUUAUUUUAAGCGACUUAGGUUUAUCCAAAACGCUUAUUUUGCUAGUGGCCACCACAAUUUAUUUCAUAACUUUGACCUCAAAUCAGGUAGGACUACCCGCUGAACUUAAGCAUAUCAAUAGCCGGGAGGAA
This 492-nucleotide ribosomal RNA is filed under the name Candida tropicalis. Its description in RNAcentral is "eukaryotic LSU rRNA". The stretch from base 136 to 289 matches the Rfam family "5.8S ribosomal RNA". Lineage: Eukaryota; Fungi; Ascomycota; Pichiomycetes; Serinales; Debaryomycetaceae. The record is from RNAcentral.